GAUCAUGGCUCAGGAUGAACGCUGGCGGCGUGCCUAAUACAUGCAAGUGAAACGGGUAUCUUCGGAUACCAGUCGCGGACGGGUGAGUAAUACAUAGGCAACCUGCCUUUAUGAGGGGGAUAACCGAGGGAAACUUUGGCUAAUACCGCAUGAAGACUCUAAGGCAUCUUAGAGGGAUAAAAGUUGGGAAACAACGCAUGAAGAUGGGCUUAUGGCGCAUUAGCUAGUUGGUGAGAUAGAAGCCCACCAAGGUAAUGAUGCGUAGCCGACCUGAGAGGGUGAACGGCCACAUUGGGACUGAGACACGGCCCAAACUCCUACGGGAGGCAGCAGUAGGGAAUUUUCGGCAAUGGGGGGAACCCUGACCGAGCAACGCCGCGUGAAGGAAGAAGGUUUUCGGAUUGUAAACUUCUGUUAUAAGGGAAGAACGGAUUGGAUAGGGAAUGAUCUGAUGGUGACGGUACCUUAUUAGAAAGCCACGGCUAACUACGUGCCAGCCGCCGC
Molecule: ribosomal RNA, 504 nt
Filed under: uncultured bacterium
Lineage: Bacteria
Description: bacterial SSU rRNA
Rfam family: Bacterial small subunit ribosomal RNA
Source: RNAcentral